UUCUUAUUGGAUGAUGAUUGUCACGUGUCAUGUUCUGAUUGAAUGUCAACUCCAUGAAAAAUGAAAUACAGAACAUGUUCUGAUUGAAUAUCAACUUCAUGAAAAAUGAAAUACAGAACAUGACACGUGACAGUUAUCAUCC
Non-coding RNA from Glycine soja, 142 nucleotides. The record is from Rfam. Lineage: Eukaryota; Viridiplantae; Streptophyta; Magnoliopsida; Fabales; Fabaceae.